AGACAGAGGAAAGGUCUCGGCGUUGCAAAUGAGCGUGGGCCGGGUCACUGGCAUGGCUCAUCGAGAGCCCGCUGUAGGGGUUCAGCACCCAGUAGGCAGCCGCUACUGGUAAGGCCGCUGCUGGCCUCCCCCUGACGCAGUGGGGACAGCCACAUGCAGGCAUCCCAGGACAGUGGAGCAUGCGGUCAUCAUUCCUCGCAGACUUCCUGGCCCCGGGGGGCUCCAGCCCCGCAAACACCUGUGAAGUGGAGCAGAGCCGGGACCUGGAGAACCAGACACCAGCUAUCCAGAGACCAGAGCUAGGAAGGAGGAACACCAUGACAAGGACAAAGUGCAGGGCUUGAAGCCAGAAGCUAGGGCCCUUAGACUACCCGGGGUCCGAAGAUUCUUUAAUAGGAUGGACCAGUCCUUGGUCUCCUGGAGACACAAUCCUGGGAGUAAGAACAGUCACAAUCACCUCCUAAGAAAUGAAGAAUCUGAGGCUUGGAGUGGGUAGGUCUCUUGCACAAUGCCACGUGGCUAUCUGGUAAGAUAAAUGUAUUCAUAUGUGUUAUCGGUUGAAUUGCAUCCAUCCCCCCUAAAUUCAUGUGUCAAAAUCUUACCCUCUGGUAUCUUAGAAUGAGGCCUUAUUCAGAGAUGGGUCAUUGCAGAUGUCAUUAAUUAAGAUGAGGUCCUCCUGAAGUAGGGUGGGCCACUAAUCCAAUAUGACUGCUGUCCUUAUAAAAAGAGAAAACUGGGACACAGGCAUUGCAUGCAGGCGGAGCGUCACAGGAAGAUGAUGCAGAGAUUGGACGAUGCUUCCAUAAGCUAAGAAACAGCAAAGAUUGCCAGCAACCACCAGAAGCCAGGGGAGAGGCAUGGAACAGAUUUUUCUAACAAUCCUCAAAAAGAGCCAACCCCACCAACAUCUUUUUCAUGAAAUUCAAAACUGUAACAGAAUAAAUUUCUGUUGUUAAGCCAUUCAGUUGGUGGCAGUUUGUUCUAGCAGCCUGAGGAAACUAAUAGGACAUGAAAGCAUCUAUUACUCUUUUUGUUUGUUUUUAAUGAAAAAAAAAUCUUGGAAAUUGAUUCAAUUUCUUAUUUUAAGUGAGAACAGGUUUUGCUUAGCAAAUACAUAAACAGAAGUUCUUAUAAUUUAACAAAAAUGGUGACAUGAAAAUUUGGACACGGAGUAUGUAUUUAUCCUGUAAGGAAACCAAAAGAUUUCUCAAUGAGAUAAUUUGAAGGUGCACAUUAUUUUCCAUUUAUCCAUUCACCAGGUGAAGAUGUUUGGAAUCCCCACAGAAACUUUGAGAAUCACUGAGUUAGAAUCACAAUCCAGGAUUAUUCAGAGGUUUCAGAGACUUCCUCUGUAAGAGGAGUAGUAACGCAACAUUCCCCCUCAGACUAAAUUAUAUUUGAUUUUUAUUUUCAUGAGCAUUUUUCAAUAACAGCAAUUUUAAAACUUAUACUGAAAUUUCAUUUGAAUGAGCUGAGAGUUUGGUUUCUUUUAUUGAAGUAUA
Long non-coding RNA from Callorhinus ursinus (northern fur seal), 1502 nucleotides. RefSeq lists it as uncharacterized. Lineage: Eukaryota; Metazoa; Chordata; Mammalia; Carnivora; Otariidae. The record is from RefSeq and is a predicted model, not a curated record.